CGCGUUCACUCCUACGGGAGGCAGCAGUGGGGAAUAUUGCACAAUGGGCGCAAGCCUGAUGCAGCCAUGCCGCGUGUAUGAAGAAGGCCUUCGGGUUGUAAAGUACUUUCAGCAGUGAGGAAGGCGGGUACGUUAAUAGCGUGCUCGUUUGACGUUAGCUGCAGAAGAAGCACCGGCUAACUCCGUGCCAGCAGCCGCGGUAAUACGGAGGGUGCGAGCGUUAAUCGGAAUUACUGGGCGUAAAGCGCAUGCAGGUGGUUUGUUAAGUCAGAUGUGAAAGCCCGGGGCUCAACCUCGGAAUUGCAUUUGAAACUGGCAGACUAGAGUACUGUAGAGGGGGUAGAAUUUCAGGUGUAGCGGUGAAAUGCGUAGAGAUCUGAAGGAAUACCGGUGGCGAAGGCGGCCCCCUGGACAGAUACUGACACUCAGAUGCGAAAGCGUGGGGAGCAAACAGGAUUAGAUACCCUGGUAG
This 472-nucleotide ribosomal RNA is filed under the name uncultured bacterium. Its description in RNAcentral is "bacterial SSU rRNA". It matches the Rfam family "Bacterial small subunit ribosomal RNA", at positions 328 to 793 of the family's 1533-position model. The record is from RNAcentral.